AGCGGCGGACGGGUGAGUAACGCGUGAGCAACCUGUCCCAGUCAGGGGGAUAACGAGCCGAAAGGCUCCCUAAUACCGCAUGAGACCACAGCAUCACAUGGUGCAGGGGUCAAAGGAGAGAUCCGGACUGGGGUGGGCUCGCGUCUGAUUAGCUAGUUGGUGAGGUAAAGGCCCACCAAGGCGACGAUCAGUAGCCGACCUGAGAGGGUGAUCGGCCACAUUGGAACUGAGACACGGUCCAAACUCCUACGGGAGGCAGCAGUGGGGAAUAUUGGGCAAUGGGGGAAACCCUGACCCAGCAACGCCGCGUGAAGGAAGAAGGUCUUCGGAUCGUAAACUUCUAUCCUUGGUGAAGAUAAUGACGGUAGCCGAGAAGGAAGCCCCGGCUAACUACGUGCCAGCAGCCGCGGUAAUACGUAGGGGGCAAGCGUUGUCCGGAAUGAUUGGGCGUAAAGGGCGCGUAGGCGGCCUGGUAAGUCUGGAGUGAAAGUCCUGCUUUUAAGGUGGGAAUUGCUUUGGAUACUGCUGGGCUUGAGUGCAGGAGAGGUAAGUGGAAUUCCCGGUGUAGCGGUGAAAUGCGUAGAGAUCGGGAGGAACACCAGUGGCGAAGGCGACUUACUGGACUGUAACUGACGCUGAGGCGCGAAAGUGUGGGGAGCAAACAGGAUUAGAUACCCUGGUAGUCCACACUGUAAACGAUGAAUGCUAGGUGUAGGGGGUAUCGACCCCUUCUGUGCCGGAGUCAACACAAUAA
RNAcentral lists this ribosomal RNA (754 nucleotides) under uncultured bacterium. RNAcentral describes it as "bacterial SSU rRNA". It matches the Rfam family "Bacterial small subunit ribosomal RNA", at positions 94 to 863 of the family's 1533-position model. The record is from RNAcentral.